UACAGAGGUCUCAAGCGUUGUUCGGAUUCAUUGGGCGUAAAGGGUGCGUAGGCGGCGCGGUAAGUCGGAUGCGAAAUCUCGGAGCUUAACUUCGAAACUGCAUUCGAUACUGCCGUGCUUGAGGACUGGAGAGGAGACUGGAAUUUACGGUGUAGCGGUGAAAUGCGUAGAUAUCGUAAGGAAGACCAGUGGCGAAGGCGGGUCUCUGGACAGUUCCUGACGCUGAGGCACGAAGGUCAGGGGAGCAAACGGG
This 253-nucleotide ribosomal RNA is filed under the name uncultured bacterium. RNAcentral's name for it is "partial 16S ribosomal RNA". It matches the Rfam family "Bacterial small subunit ribosomal RNA", at positions 524 to 776 of the family's 1533-position model. The record is from RNAcentral.